GCAAAAUUGUUGAAAAGCAAUGACGCAAAGCCAAGGGUCUAAGCUUAGUUAAGUAUGACAGCCGGUUGCCGAA
RNAcentral lists this non-coding RNA (73 nucleotides) under bovine gut metagenome. RNAcentral describes it as "Cyclic di-GMP-I riboswitch". It matches the Rfam family "c-di-GMP-I riboswitch aptamer", at positions 12 to 87 of the family's 87-position model. From Rfam's summary of the family: GEMM was predicted in a large-scale screen for bacterial structured RNA regulatory elements. The record is from RNAcentral.